This is a non-coding RNA of Chelonoidis abingdonii (Abingdon island giant tortoise), 125 nucleotides long. The record is from RefSeq and is a predicted model, not a curated record. Lineage: Eukaryota; Metazoa; Chordata; Testudines; Testudinidae.
AAAAAUCACAACUCUGCUAGACACUAGAAAUCAUGGACUCAAUAAAUACACUAGAUUUAUGGUUCAUUACAACAAUCUUUAACCCACUAACCCUCCUUUAUCCUAUGACUACCGAGGAGUUAACU